Molecule: ribosomal RNA, 432 nt
Filed under: uncultured bacterium
Lineage: Bacteria
Description: partial 16S ribosomal RNA
Rfam family: Bacterial small subunit ribosomal RNA
Source: RNAcentral
AACGAACGCUGGCGGCAUGCCUAACACAUGCAAGUCGAACGAGACCUUCGGGUCUAGUGGCGCACGGGUGCGUAACGCGUGGGAACCUGCCCUUAGGUUCGGAAUAACUCCCCGAAAGGGGUGCUAAUACCGGAUAAUGUCUUCGGACCAAAGAUUUAUCGCCUUUGGAUGGGCCCGCGUUGGAUUAGCUAGUUGGUAGGGUAAAAGCCUACCAAGGCGACGAUCCAUAGCUGGUCUGAGAGGAUGAUCAGCCACACUGGGACUGAGACACGGCCCAGACUCCUACGAGAGGCAGCAGUGGGGAAUAUUGGACAAUGGGCGAAAGCCUGAUCCAGCAAUGCCGCGUGAGUGAUGAAGGCCCUAGGGUUGUAAAGCUCUUUUACCCGGGAUGAUAAUGACAGUACCGGGAGAAUAAGCUCCGGCUAACUCCGU